Otolemur garnettii (small-eared galago) is the source of this 107-nucleotide small nuclear RNA. Lineage: Eukaryota; Metazoa; Chordata; Mammalia; Primates; Galagidae. The record is from Ensembl.
AUACUCGCUUCGGCAGCACAUAUACUAAAUUUGGAAUGAUACAGAGAAGAUUAGCAUGGCCCCUGUGCAAGGAUGACAUGCAAAUUCGUGAAGUGUUCCAUAUUUUU